Molecule: ribosomal RNA, 415 nt
Filed under: uncultured microorganism
Description: bacterial SSU rRNA
Rfam family: Archaeal small subunit ribosomal RNA
Source: RNAcentral
GUGCAGCAGUCGAGAAAACUUCACAAUGUGCGAAAGCACGAUGAGGGAAUCCCAAGUGCUUGCUCGUAAGAGUAAGCUGUUUCUCUGUCUAAAACGCAGAGAGAGUAAGGGCUGGGUAAGACGGGUGCCAGCCGCCGCGGUAAUACCUGCAGCUCGAGUGGUGGCCGCUAUUAUUGGGCCUAAAACGUCCGUAGCCGGUUUAUUAAAUGCCUGGGUAAAUCGGACCGCUUAACGGUUCGAAUUCCGGGUAGACUGAUAAACUUGAGACCGGGAGAAGCUAGAGGUACUCCUGGGGUAGAGGUGAAAUUCCGUAAUCCUAGGGGGACCACCAGUGGCGAAGGCGUCUAGCUAGAACGGGUCUGACGGUGAGGGACGAAGCCCUGGGGCGCAAACGGGGAUUAGAUACCCGCGUAGU